GAAAAAUGGGCGCCGACGCGCUGGGAAUAUCAGCGGCCCCAAGCGGUGUUCGGAUGCUCUGGGCGUAAAGGUUGCGUAGGUGGUCAGUGACUUCGGAUGUGAAAUAGCGGUGCUCCACUCCGAAACGGCAUUGGAAACUACCUUGCUCGAGGAAUGGAGGGGUGACUGGAAUUCUCGGUGUAGCAGUGAAAUGCGUAGAUAUCGAGAGGAACACCAGUGGCGAAGGCGAGUCCCUGGACAUCUCCUGACACUGAGGCACGAAAGCUAGGGGAGCAAACAGGAUUAGAUACCCGAGUAGUC
RNAcentral lists this ribosomal RNA (300 nucleotides) under uncultured Telmatocola sp. Its description in RNAcentral is "bacterial SSU rRNA". It matches the Rfam family "Bacterial small subunit ribosomal RNA", at positions 484 to 795 of the family's 1533-position model. The record is from RNAcentral. Lineage: Bacteria; Pseudomonadati; Planctomycetota; Planctomycetia; Gemmatales; Gemmataceae.